RNAcentral lists this transfer RNA (65 nucleotides) under Odontotermes sp. A TB-2017. Its description in RNAcentral is "tRNA-Asp". The record is from RNAcentral. Lineage: Eukaryota; Metazoa; Arthropoda; Insecta; Blattodea; Termitidae.
GAAGGAUUAGUUAAAAUAAAUAACAUCAGAAUGUCAAACUGAAGUAACCGAAAAGGUAUCCUUCU